This 1483-nucleotide long non-coding RNA is filed under the name Pan troglodytes (chimpanzee). RNAcentral describes it as "long non-coding RNA NONPTRT008566". Lineage: Eukaryota; Metazoa; Chordata; Mammalia; Primates; Hominidae. The record is from RNAcentral.
GAGAGAUUGAAGGGAGAGAGACAGAAGGAGAGACGGGCAGAGGGAGAGAGAUGGAGGAGAGACAGGCAGAGAGGGAGAGAGAAAUGGAGGAGAGACAGAGGGAGAGACGGGCAGAGGUAGAGAGAGAUGGAGGGGAGAGAGAGGGAGAGACGGAGAGAGAGAGAUGGAGGAGAGACGGGCAGAGGUAGAGAGAGAUGGAGGGGAGAGAGAGGGAGAGACGGAGAGAGAGAGAUGGAGGAGAGACAGGCAGAGACAGAGGGAGAGACAGACACAGCAGAGGGAGGUGGAAGGGAGAGGUGGGGAAGAAACACCAGAGGAAGAGGUGAAACAGGGAGAGACGCAGAGAUAGGGCGAGACAGAGAUAGGAAGAAGUGGAGUAUGGGAUUGGGGGAGACGCAAAGACGAGGGUGGAUAAUGGGGUCAGAGGAAGAUACAGAGGUAAGAGGGGAGAGAGAGGAAGAUAGACAAGGUGGGGAUGGGGACACCCACAGAGAUGGGAUCAAGAUAGGAGCAGAGAGAGGCCCAGGGAGACGGGGAGGGAAAGAGCGGCAGGAAGAAGGAGAGAGACGGAAGCAGCAGAGACAGGGAGAAGACGGAGAGAGAGAGGACGGAGUGACAGAAACAGGAAUGAGGGAGGCCCAGGGAGAGGAUGAUAGAGGCGGGAAGAGAUGCAGGAAGGCGGGAGAGAUAAGCGAGGCAAGAAAGUUGGACAGAGAAGAAGACAGCAAGGCAGGAAGAGGGAGACAGAGACCCCAAGGCCACCAAGAGACACGCGCACAUGAAGGAUGGGGAAACAAUUGAGAUUGAGGGAGGCAGGCAGAGCGGAGCGAAAACAGGAGGACAGAAAUAGCGAAGCAAGGCCAAGAUCGGGACCCCCACCAGGGAGGUGCCCAGUACAGACAUGAAAACAGGAGGACACAGGCAGCCGGGGACGCCCAGACGCCUGGCCGGACGCAGGCAGGAGGCACAGAACCCAGGUACACACCAUCCAUGUGGGUUUGGGGGGGCCGGGGGGAAGGAGUGGGAGCCCCACGACACCCAGGCAGGCAGCUCAGGGUCGGUACAGACAGACAGACCCCUCCCUCCCUCCGCCGCCGCAGCGCUUACAGACACACCCCCCCUCCACCAGCCAGCCCCAGACACCCGGACACACAGAUCCUCACCGGGCAGAUGGCAGACGCUCGAGAGACCCCUGGGGGCCGGGCGGACCCACCCAGGCAACACCCCCCAGCAGGCACCAGUGGCCGAGGGAGGCUGCGGGAGGCUGCGGGCGAGGGUGGCGGCGGCGGCCGCGGCUUGGAGGAGCUGGAGCGGGAGGGACUCACACACUCGCUGUGUUCUCGCACACACACACUCACUCGGGAUGCGAUUAACAUUCAGUCCCCGUCUGCCACUGCCGGGAGACCCACAGCCCCCCCUCCUGGCCUCCCUGGGGACCCCUUCUCCUGCCAGGCUUGGGGAGGGGGCCGCCCCCCACCCCUAG